GCCGGCCCUCCCGCCCGCCACUCACCAGCGCGGCCCGGCUGCGAGUGGGGGCGGGGCGGAGGGAGGUGGAAAGGAAGCAGCCGUCCGAGCGAUUGCCGGACCGAAAACAGUCCGAGGCGCCCUUCCGCCGGCAUCUCCACGUCCUUGGCUUAGCUUCGGGGUGGCGGGUCACGAGCAAAGUCUCAGAUAGGUGCCGCACACAUAGCGGCUGCUUCAAAUUACCCACUCCUUUAAGAGGAGCUAAUUUUUUCAGACAGGCAAUGCGUAGGGCAGCCACAGCAAGCCCCUCAAUCCAGGGCCUCAGUGGAGGGGGAGGAGUGUUCCGAGGACCGGAGGCAGGAAGUGGAUUGGUCGCCAGGAAAGGGAAAGCUCCUGAAUUGGAGGUGUUAAAGAAGAAAGCAUGUGGAGUUCCCACUGGGUUCCCUCAGUGGGUUAAGGAUCUGGCAUUAUCAUUCCAGUGCUGUGGCAGAGGUUCGAUGCCUGACCUGGGAAUUUCCACAUGCAGGCACAGCCCAAAACAAAGAGAAAAAAAGAAAGUGAGUAAAGACUGUUAUUUGAGGCAUUUUAUUGUGAAAAGCAGCAGAAAAAUAUAACCCUAGGAGAAUGUGAGGUCAGGGAGGAUUUUGUUUGUGUAUCUUUUAUAUUGCAUUUUUUAAUGAACGAUAUAGAGAAUGUGGAGUUCCUGUCAUGGCUCAGGGGUAACAAACCUGACUAGGAUCCAUGAGGAGGACAAGGGUUUAAACCCCGGCCUCACUCAGUGGGUUAAGGAUCUGGCAUUGCCAUGGGCUGUGGUGUAGGUCGAAGACGUGGCUCAUGUCUUGCAUUGCUGUGGCUGUGGGGUAGGCCAGCGGCUACAGCUCUGAUUCAGCCCCCCUAGCCUGGGUGCUUCCAUAUGCUGUGGGUGCAGCCCUAAAAAGCAAAAAAAAAAAAAGAAGGAAGGAAGAAAGAAAUAGAAAUAGAGAAUAUGGAAAUGAUCCAAUCGGGAGGGAAAUAUUGAGGAUGCAGGAGAGAGGAAAAAAGAUAACAAAAGAUCAAAAUCCUUGCAGUGAGAAGGAAUGGCAUCUCAAGUACCCGUGGAGGGAGGUCCCAUUGUGUUUCAGCGGGUUAUGAACCCAACUGGUGUCCAUGAGAAUUGGGUUCGACCCCUGACCUCGCUGAGUGGGCUAUGGAUCAAGCUGCAGUAUAGGUUGUAGAUGCUACUUGGAUCUGGAGUGGCUGUGGCAUAGGCCAGCAGCUGCAGCUCUGAUUGGACUCCUAGCCUGGGAGGGGUCCAGUGCUGCAGAUGCGCCCCUAAAAAAAAAAAAAAAGCGGGGAGGGAAGAAGGAAGGGAGAAAGGAACAGGAGACACACAAAGGCUUUUGGACCUGGGAGUUUUCAAUGAGAAAAGAAAAACUGCUGCUCAGGUUCAGUGAGAAAGAAACAUGAAGAGCAUGAAAGCAAUAGAGAUCACCUGCUGCGAAGCUACAUAAAGUUUGUGGUCAUGAAUUUAAAGUAAAACCAUCCAGCCCACAUAGGCCAAUUUCUCCGGAAGAGACGGACAGUUAAAUUUAACUUUGGCUCGCCACCGCCCCCAUAAAAGUAAUGACGGAGAAAGAGACAACUGCAGGAAUUGUGGGUGUUUGCAGAAGAACGCUUGUAGUGAAGGAUCAUGGGAUCCACACUGGGCACAGGGUAGGUUAAGGGAAAUGAGGUGUGCGCGUGAGUGUGGAUGGGGUUAAUGAAUUGACAGGAGCUGGGGUUGCAAAGAAAACAGUGAUGGAAGAGCCAAAACAUCCAUGAAUUAACAGGGACAGUCCAGGAAGUCUUAAGGCAGUUCUGAAGAGCUGCAGUAGCAGGAGGCUUAGACAGAAGAAGCGAGCCCAAAGUGGCCAAGGCUCUUGAAAGAGGAUGGAAGAGAACUGGUUUGGAAGCCACCAUGGGAAGCAGGAAACACACACCACUGAAGUCAGACUACAUGAGAUCAGAUUUUAGUCUGGGAGUUCCUGUCGUGGCGCAGCAGAAAAGAAUCCGGUUAGGAACCAUGAGGUUUCAGGUUCGAUCCCUGGCCUCACUCAGUGGGUUAAGGAUCCAGCGUUGCUGUGAGCUUCGGUGUAGGUCACAGACACGGCUCGGAUCACGCGGUGCUGUGGCUGUGGUGUAGGCCGACAGCUACAGCUCCAAUUAGACCCCUAGCCUGGGAACCUAUGUAUGCUGCAGGUGUGGCCCUAGAAAAGGCAAAAAAGACAAAAAAAAAGAAGAACAUUAAAAAGAAAAAAGUCAAAUUACCACAAUAUACACUUUAAAUUCCUUACAAUUUUGUCUAUCAAUUAUACCUCAAUAAAAUUGAAAAAAAAAAAGAAAAGAGGAACA
Molecule: long non-coding RNA, 2349 nt
Filed under: Sus scrofa (pig)
Lineage: Eukaryota; Metazoa; Chordata; Mammalia; Artiodactyla; Suidae
Description: lncRNA (ENSSSCG00065078631.1)
Source: RNAcentral